ACCCGACCCGACUCAUUUUCUCUCCUGCCUCUUCCUCUCUCUCGCGACCUCCCCAACGCCGACGCCUGCCUCAGUGAUCGCCGAUUUUUCCCUUUCCUCUCUCGGUGUCGCCGGUGAGGAGCAGAUUCCGGAGGGUGGUGAAGAAGGGGGUCAACUAUCGACGAACUCUCCUUCUCCCUGGCUUUUCUCUUCCUUUCUAGUCUCGGCAAACCGCGGCGACGGAGCUUCGAUUUGGGGUUUGCGCUUACUGUCGGAAAGGGGCUGAAGGCACCGGCGUUGGAUCUGGCCAGCGUCGACCGAUUGUGUGAGGUUUUGGUUGAGAAUUAGGGUUCUGAUCUCUUCUCUGUGCGUUAGCAAGAACAAGACCGAGCCCUAAUCGGGAUAUUGGAGAGGUGCUGUGGUGAUUUCAGCCAUCA
Molecule: long non-coding RNA, 416 nt
Organism: Zingiber officinale
Lineage: Eukaryota; Viridiplantae; Streptophyta; Magnoliopsida; Zingiberales; Zingiberaceae
Exons: 3
Source: RefSeq, a predicted model, not a curated record